Symphalangus syndactylus (siamang) is the source of this 974-nucleotide long non-coding RNA. RefSeq lists it as uncharacterized. The record is from RefSeq and is a predicted model, not a curated record. NCBI's taxonomy places the organism in Eukaryota, Metazoa, Chordata, Mammalia, Primates, Hylobatidae.
AUCUUAACUGCUGCCAGUUCUUUGAGUCCGCGCUGUUUUUAUGAGCUAUAAUACUGACUGCAGAGGUUUACCGCUUCACUCCUGAGACCAUGAGUCCCCUGGGAGGAAUGAGCAAAUGUGGACUUGCGACCUUAAGAGCUCUAAGAGCUGUAACAGUCACCGUGAAGGUCUGCAGCUUCACUUCUGAAGCCAGCGAGACUACGAAGCUAGCAGAAGGAAGAAACUCCGAACACGUCCGAACAGCGGAAGGAGCAAACUUUGGACGUAUCGUCUUUAAGAACUGUAAUACUCACCAUGAGUGUCUGCAGUUUCAUUCUUGAAGUCAGUGAGACCGAGAACGGACACAGCACUAGGUCCAGAUUGGCAAGGAAGCACCCUGGGCUUGCUCAACCGAGAGAGAUGGGAACUGGGAGGGCAACCUUAAGGAAUGGUGUGACCCAGAGGCUGGGCCAGGGGGUGGAACCAUGAAGGUCAAGCGUAAAUCUUGGUUCAUUCUACCUCUGUUUGUCACCACUCUUGCUGUGAUUCCAACAACAUUUCCUAUGUGUGAAAACAUUUUGAGAGAAGACUCAUGAGAAUCAGUUCACAAACUUACAAGCAAGAGUUCAGAAAAGUUCCAACAUAAAAAGAUGUACAAGCAUGGCAACAUCUUGGCUUCUGGUGAGGACCUAAAGAAGCUUACCAUCAUGGUGAAAGGUGAAGCAGGAGCAGGUGGAAUUCAUGGUGGAUUCUUUUGAUGGGGAUUUUCCUGCUUUGAAAGGAAAUAAUAGGACAUUUUCAAUGUGGAACAGGGCUGAGGUUCUGACUGCUGGCCUAUAAGAACAUCAUUUUAUUACAUGUAGAAGAUUCGUGUAAUUACUACAAUCAAGUUACAAAACUGUCCUAUCAUCACAAGACUCCAUUGUGUUAUCCAUUUGUAGCCCCAACCACUCCCUAUGUCUCCACACCCUUCCCCUAACCCCAUUAUUCCUAAC